GAGGGUGUAGCUCAGUGGUAGAGCACGUGCUUCACAUAUAUGAGGUCCUGGGUUCAAUCCCUGGUACCUCUA
Molecule: transfer RNA, 72 nt
Filed under: Camelus bactrianus (Bactrian camel)
Lineage: Eukaryota; Metazoa; Chordata; Mammalia; Artiodactyla; Camelidae
Also listed under: 2 other names
Rfam family: tRNA
About the family: Transfer RNA (tRNA) molecules are approximately 80 nucleotides in length. Their secondary structure includes four short double-helical elements and three loops (D, anti-codon, and T loops).
Source: Rfam by way of RNAcentral